AUGAAGUGCCCUUGUAGCGCCCACCCGACACCCCAAGCACACGCCCCCGGCGCUGCGGCGGCAUCCCAACUCCUCCGUCCGGCUAUCUCUCACCCCUCUCCGGUCAGCCGCGUUCGAGGCGGCUCGCCGGCGGGCAGGCCCACGGGUCCUGCCUCCUGCGUUCCCUUCCUCGUCGACGGAGGUGCGCUGCUCCUCCCCCGCUUUCCGCUCGGGCGCCAGGGCCUCCUAUUCGUCGCCUCUGCUGAGCGCGUUCGGCAUCGAUUGCAACCCGCGGCGGCGGAGGCGGCGGCGCUGGUUGCUGCGCGCGCGCGCGCCGAGCGUCGCAGGCGACGCCACUCGAUCGCGGUGCGCCUCUUCAGCGGACGCACGCACCACCCCAGAGGGCGAGUCGAGCUCGGCUGGAAUCGGCCAGCAAUGCCAACCGCCCGCCUGUCCUCCCUCUCCACCUCCUCCUUCAAGGCUCCUUCACGAGAGCGCCGAGCCCCCCUCGCCGCCUUGGCUGCCGCCACGGAGCGCGUCCGCGAGGGAACGCUAAGUCGGCAGGACGCGCACCACCUGUUCGACGAAUUGCUAGGCCAAGCCGCCGCCGUCCCGGAACGCGGGCUGAACAACUUUCUUGCCGCACUAGCCCGUGCUCCGCCCUCAUCUGCCUGCAGCGAUGGCCCCGGCCUUGCCAUUGCCCUCUUCAACCGCAUGUCCCAAGGCGCUGGUGCACGGGUGGUGUCGCCCACGCUCUGUACCUAUUCCAUCCUCAUGGACUGCUGCUGCCGCGCAGGCCGCCCGGACUUGGUGGUUGCCUUCUUCGGUCGCCUCAUCAGGUUGGGGUUGCGCUUGGAGGUCAUCUCCUUCAGCAAUCUCCUCAAGGGGCUUUGCAAGGCCAAGCGCUCAAAUGAGGCAUUGGAUCUGCUGCUCCACCGGAUGCCUGAACUGGACUGUGCGCCUGAUGUCUUCUCCUACAGCAUUGUAAUCAACGGCUGCUUUAAAGAAGGUGAAGUAGACAAAGCGUGCAAUCUCUUCCAUGAGAUGAUCCAACUGGGAGUUCAACCUAAUGUGGCCAUCUACACCUCAAUUAUCGAUGCACUAAGCAAGUGCGGAGCCAUGGACAAGGCAGAAGUGGUCCUUCGGCAAAUGGUUGAUCAAGGCAUUGGACCCAACAUCAGGACAUAUACUAGCCUGAUACAUGGAUAUUCCGCUUCGGGUCAGUGGAAGGAGGCAGUUAGGUUAUUCAAGAAAAUGAUAAGGCUUGGUGCUCUACCAGAUACCGUCAUGUGGAACUCAUUUAUGGAUUCACUUUGCAAGCAUAGAAGGACAAAGGAUGCUAGAGAUAUUUUUGACUCCAUGGCUGCAAAGGGCCAAAAACCUGAUAUUUUCUCCUAUUCUACUAUGCUUAACGGGUAUGCGAAAGAAGGAUGCUUCGAUGAUAUGACUUGUCUCUUCAAUUCGAUGCUACAGAAUGGUAUUCUACCUGAUCACCGUGUUUUCAACAUUGAU
This 1491-nucleotide ribosomal RNA is filed under the name Triticum aestivum (bread wheat). Its description in RNAcentral is "partial small subunit ribosomal RNA". The record is from RNAcentral. Lineage: Eukaryota; Viridiplantae; Streptophyta; Magnoliopsida; Poales; Poaceae.